RNAcentral lists this ribosomal RNA (460 nucleotides) under uncultured bacterium. RNAcentral describes it as "partial 16S ribosomal RNA". It matches the Rfam family "Bacterial small subunit ribosomal RNA", at positions 338 to 795 of the family's 1533-position model. The record is from RNAcentral.
CCUACGGGUGGCAGCAGUGAGGAAUAUUGGUCAAUGGGCGCGAGCCUGAACCAGCCAAGUCGCGUGAGGGAAGACGGUCCUAUGGAUUGUAAACCUCUUUUGUCGGGGAGCAAAGGACGCCACGCGUGGCGUUCCGCGAGUACCCUAUGAACAAGCAUCGGCUAACUCCGUGCCAGCAGCCGCGGUAAUACGGAAGGUCCGUGCGUUAUCCGGAUUUAUUGGGUUUAAAGGGAGCGUAGGCCGCAUGUCAAGCGUGCUGUGAAAUGUCCGGGCUCAACCCGGGCCUUGCAGGGCGAACUGGCGGGCUUGAGUCCGCGGAAAGCAGGCGGAAUUCGUCGUGUAGCGGUGAAAUGCUUAGAUAUGACGAAGAACCCCGAUUGCGAAGGCAGCUUGCUGCAGCGGAACUGACGCUGAUGCUCGAAAGCGCGGGUAUCGAACAGGAUUAGAUACCCCGGUAGUC